Molecule: ribosomal RNA, 2415 nt
Filed under: human gut metagenome
Description: bacterial LSU rRNA
Rfam family: Bacterial large subunit ribosomal RNA
Source: RNAcentral
AGGGCGUACGGUGAAUGCCUUGGUGCCAACAGGCGAAGAAGGACGCGGCAAGCUGCGAAAAGCCUCGGGAAGCUGCAAGCAAGCGAUGAUCCGGGGAUAUCCGAAUGGGGUAACCUGAUCGAGGCAAUACUCGAUCGUUCAUACCUGAAUACAUAGGGUAUGAAACGCGAAACCCGCUGAAGUGAAACAUCUCAGUAAGCGGAGGAAAAGAAAGAGAAAUCGAUUCCGUAAGUAGUGGCGAGCGAAAGCGGAUGGAGCCCAAACCGAAGGUAUUCCUUCGGGGUUGUAGGACCACGUCAUAUUCGACCAUACUGGAUAGUAGAACAGCCUGGAAAGGCUGGCCGGAGAAGGUGAAAGCCCUGUAGACGAAAUCCAGAGUGGGAAUUAGUGGUAUCCUGAGUAAUACAUCACACGUGGAACGAUGUAUGAACCCGCGCGGACCACCGCGCAAGGCUAAAUACUAGUUGGCGACCGAUAGUGAACAAGUACCGCGAGGGAAAGGUGAAAAGAACCGCUGUGAGCGGAGUGAAAUAGAACCUGAAACCGUAUGUCUACAAAGUGUCAGAGCAGAGCAAUCUGCGAUGGCGUGCCUUUUGUUUAAUGAGUCUGCGAGUCAGUGUUUGUGGCAAGACUAAGGGCUUCCGGCCCGGAGUCGCAGCGAAAGCAAGUCCGAACAGGGCGCAAUAAGUCGCAGGUACUGGACCCGAAGCGGAGGUGACCUACCCUUGGCCAGGUUGAAGCAUGGGUAAAACCAUGUGGAGGACCGAACAGGUGAACGUUGAAAAGUUCUCUGAUGAGCUGAGGGUAGGAGUGAAAGGCUAAUCAAACCCCGUGAUAGCUGGUUCUCUUCGAAAUGCAUUUAGGUGCAGCGUCACGUGCUGAUGCGCGGGGGUAGAGCACUGACAAGGCUAGGGGGCACACCCGCUUACCAAACCUUAUCAAACUCCGAAUACCGUGCAAUGGAACGUGGCAGUGAGACAGUGGGGGAUAAGCUUCAUUGUCGAGAGGGAAACAACCCAGACCAGCAGCUAAGGUGCCUAAAUAACGCUCAGUGGAAAGGAUGUGGGAUUACACAGACAGUGAGGAUGUUGGCUUAGAAGCAGCCACCAUUUAAAAAAUGCGUAAUAGCUUACUCAUCGAGUGAUCCUGCGCCGAAAAUGAUUGGCGAUCAAGCGUUAUACCGAAGCUCUGGACUUUGCCGCAAGGCAGAGUGGUAGAAGAGCGUUGCAUGCGCGUCGAAGGGCGAUGGCGACUGACCCUGGAGCACAUGCAAGUGAGUAUGCAGACAUGAGUAACGUUAAGCCGGGUGAAAUCCCCGGCCGCCGUAAACCCGAGGUUUCCAGGGCAACGUGUUUCGUCCCUGGGUUAGCCGGGACCUAAGCCGAGGCCGAGAGGCGUAGGCGAUGGACAUCAGGUUAAUAAUCCUGAGCUCGCAACCCUUAAACUGGGGGGACGCAUGAGAAAAGAUGACUAGGUUAUUGAAUUCCGAGUUGAGUCUACGGACUCAGCGCAUCAUUGGAUCGAGUGCCAAGAAAAGCCCCAGCGUAUGCUAAGCGACCCGUACCGCAAACCGACACAGGUGGGUGGGUAGAAUAUACCAAGGCGUAAGAGUGAAACCUGGUUAAGGAACUCGGCAAAUUAGCCCCGUAACUUCGGAAGAAGGGGUGCCUGCAGCGAUGCAGGCCGCAGAGAAAUGGCCCAACCGACUGUUUAUCAAAAACACAGCACUCUGCAAAGACGCAAGUCGAAGUAUAGGGUGUGACACGUGACCAAUGCCGAAAGAUUAAGGCAAGGGGUUAGCCGCAAGGCGAAGCUCUAAACCCAAGUCCCGGUGAAUGUCGGCCGUAACUAUAACGGUCCUAAGGUAGCGAAAUUCCUUGUCGGGUAAGUUCCGACCUGCACGAAUCGUGAAACGAGUUGGGCACUGUCUCAACCAGGCGCUCAGUGAAAUUGUAGUGGCGGUGAAGAUGCCGCCUACCCGCAGAAGGACGGAAAGACCCUAUAGACCUUAACUGUAAGCUGUCAUUGUUUCUUCGGUUUUAAUGCUCAGAGUAAGUGGGAGACGCUGAAGACGCCCUUUAGGGGGCGUCCGAGUCAUCAAUGAGACACCACCCUUUGAAACUGGAGGAUCUAACCCUGAGCCGUGAAUCCGGCCAGAGGACCGUGUCAGCCGGUCAGUUUUACUGGGGCGGUAUCCUCCCAAAGAGUAACGGAGGAGCGCGAAGGUGGGCUCAGCCCGGUUGGCAACCGGGUGUCGAGUGCAUGGGCAUAAGCCCGCCUAACUGUGAGACCAACAAGUCGAGCAGAUGCGAAAGCAGGCCCAAGUGAUCCGGCGGUAGAAAGUGGAAUUGCCGUCGCUCAACGGAUAAAAGGUACCUUAGGGAUAACAGGCUGAUCACGCCCAAGAGUUCAUAU